Molecule: ribosomal RNA, 252 nt
Filed under: uncultured bacterium
Lineage: Bacteria
Description: partial 16S ribosomal RNA
Rfam family: Bacterial small subunit ribosomal RNA
Source: RNAcentral
UACGUAGGGCGCAAGCGUUAUCCGGAAUUAUUGGGCGUAAAGAGCUCGUAGGCGGUUUGUCGCGUCUGCCGUGAAAGUCCGGGGCUCAACUCCGGAUCUGCGGUGGGUACGGGCAGACUAGAGUGAUGUAGGGGAGACUGGAAUUCCUGGUGUAGCGGUGAAAUGCGCAGAUAUCAGGAGGAACACCGGUGCGAAGGCGGGUCUCUGGGUAGUAACUGACGCUGAGGUGCGAAAGCGUGGGGAGCAAACAGG